CAGAGGGAGAGACAGAGGGAGAGGCAGAGGGAGAGGCAGAGGGAGAGGCAGAGGGAGAGGCAGAGGGAGAGGCAGAGGGAGAGGCAGAGGCAGAGGGAGAGAGAGAGAGACAGAGGGAGAGAGAGAGACAGAGGGAGAGAGAGAGAGACAGAGGGAGAGAGAGAGAGACAGAGGGAGAGAGAGAGAGACAGAGGGAGAGAGAGAGACCGAGGGAGAGAGAGAGACAGAGGGAGAGAGAGAGACAGAGGGAGAGAGAGAGACAGAGGGAGAGAGAGAGACCGAGGGAGAGAGAGACAGAGGGAGAGAGGGAGACAGAGAGGAGAGAGAGAGACAGCAGGAGAGUGAGAGACAGAGGGAGAGUGAGAGACAGAGGGAGAGAGAGAGACAGAGGGAGAGAGAGAGACAGCAGGAGAGUGAGAGACAGAGGGAGAGAGAGGAGAGAAGGAGAGAGAGGGAGAGAGAAGCAAGCGAGCUCUCAAGAGAAUGAGAGAGGGAGUGAAAGAGACAGGAAGAGGGAAGCUGUCAGGAGACUGAGACGUAGGAGGACAGUCCGAUACUGGUCCCAGACGACAACUAGAAUGUUCCUGACAUCUUAAGCUGGGAAGUUAUUCUAAAGUAGAACCACGGAACUGUGGACAUGGAUUCUAUUGUGAUCCUCAACACUCCUAAAUGGAACUCUAUUCCCUAUAUAGUACACUACUUUAUACCAGAGCCCUGUUCCCUAUAUAGUACACUACUUUAACCAGAGCCCUGUUCCCUAUAUAGUGCACUACUUUAACCAGAGCCCUAUUCCCUAUAUAGUGCACUACUUUAACCAGAGCCCUAUUUCCUAUAUAGUGCACUACUUUAACCAGAGCCCUAUUCCCUAUAUAGUGCACUACUUUAGACCAGAGCCCUAUUCCCUAUAUAGUACACUACUUUAGACCAGAGCCCUAUUCCCUAUAUAGUACACUACUUUAGACCAGAGCCCUAUUCCCUAUAUAGUGCAUUACUUUAUACCAGAGCCCUAUUCCCUAUAUAGUACACUACUUUAGACCAGAGCCCUAUUCCCUAUAUAGUACACUACUUUAGACCAGAGCCCUAUUCCC
This 1088-nucleotide long non-coding RNA is filed under the name Salmo salar (Atlantic salmon). RNAcentral's name for it is "lncRNA (ENSSSAG00000091005.1)". The record is from RNAcentral. Lineage: Eukaryota; Metazoa; Chordata; Actinopteri; Salmoniformes; Salmonidae.